AAGGCCAGGCUGGAUGGGGCUGUGAGCAAUCUAGUCUAGAGAGAGGUGUCCCUGCUUGUAGUAGGGGAGAAUGGAACUAGAUAAUAUUAAGCAUCCAUUCCAACCAAACCAUUCUAUGAUUUUAAGUACAAGAGGUGAAAAGUUCUUGGGCUAUCCAGGUGAUUCCUCUGUGACCUCACAGCAGAAUGGGACAGUGGUGUGUACCAGAGCUCAGAAUGAGGUACUGGCUCUUGCUGCUUGCUCUGCUGCUGGGGGCUGUGCUCCCUCUGCCCCUGCACCAAAGCUAUUCUGUCCCUGAGGACUUUUCUGCCCCCCUGGAGCUCCCACAGAAGCACUUUGGCUUGGUGGAUGAUUAUGGCAUUAAACCAAAACAGCCUCGCUUCAAGACCAUAACACCCCGGAAGCAGCCAGCAGUACUGCAGAGGGCUGGCAAAACCAAACGUGACGACCUUGAUUUGGAGUACUACUAUGAUGCCCAGCUGUGAGAGAAGCAGGGCACUCAGCUUCUGCGUCUUCAUCCUGCAAGAAUCUGACUCUGCCACUGCGUUAGAAGUCACCCCUGAGGGAUGUGAUGGGAAGCUGAGCCAUGGUCACAGCAAGGAGACAUU
Molecule: non-coding RNA, 608 nt
Organism: Coturnix japonica (Japanese quail)
Lineage: Eukaryota; Metazoa; Chordata; Aves; Galliformes; Phasianidae
Source: RefSeq, a predicted model, not a curated record